This 468-nucleotide ribosomal RNA is filed under the name uncultured bacterium. RNAcentral describes it as "partial 16S ribosomal RNA". It matches the Rfam family "Bacterial small subunit ribosomal RNA", at positions 28 to 507 of the family's 1533-position model. The record is from RNAcentral.
GACGAACGCUGGCGGCGUGCUUAACACAUGCAAGUCGAACGGAAAGGCCCUGCUUUUGUGGGGUGCUCGAGUGGUGAACGGGUGAGUAACACGUGAGUAACCUGCCCUUGACUUUGGGAUAACUUCAGGAAACUGGGGCUAAUACCGGAUAGGAGCUCCUGCUGCAUGGUGGGGGUUGGAAAGUUUCGGCGGUUGGGGAUGGACUCGCGGCUUAUCAGCUUGUUGGUGGGGUAGUGGCUUACCAAGGCUUUGACGGGUAGCCGGCCUGAGAGGGUGACCGGCCACAUUGGGACUGAGAUACGGACCAGACUCCUACGGGAGGCAGCAGUGGGGAAUAUUGCACAAUGGGCGGAAGCCUGAUGCAGCAACGCCGCGUGCGGGAUGACGGCCUUCGGGUUGUAAACCGCUUUCGCCUGUGACGAAGCGUGAGUGACGGUAAUGGGUAAAGAAGCACCGGCUAACUACGUG